GCGGUGGUAGUUCAACGGUAGAAUGUCUCCCUUCCAAGGAGAAGGUUGCCAGUUCAAAUCUGGUCCACCGCU
This 72-nucleotide transfer RNA is filed under the name Candidatus Roizmanbacteria bacterium CG_4_10_14_0_8_um_filter_39_9. RNAcentral describes it as "tRNA-Gly". It matches the Rfam family "tRNA". Rfam says of the family: Transfer RNA (tRNA) molecules are approximately 80 nucleotides in length. Their secondary structure includes four short double-helical elements and three loops (D, anti-codon, and T loops). The record is from RNAcentral. Lineage: Bacteria; Candidatus Roizmaniibacteriota.